UCCAGGUGCAAAGUGGGAAGUGUGAGUCCUCAGUCUUGGGCUAUUCGGCCACGUGCCUGCCGGACAUGGGACGCUGGAGGGUCAGCAGCGUGGAGUCCUGGCCUUUUGCGUCCACGGGUGGGAAAUUGGCCAUUGCCACGGCGGGAACUGGGACUCAGGCUGCCCCCCGGCCGUUUCUCAUCCGUCCACCGGACUCGUGGGCGCUCGCACUGGCGCUGAUGUAGUUUCCUGACCUCUGACCCGUAUUGUCUCCAGAUUAAAGGUACGACAUUUGGAGGCCCCAGCGAGAAACGUCACCGGGAGAAACGUCACCGGGCGAGAGCCGGGCCCGCUGUGUGCUCCCCCGGAAGGACAGCCAGCUUGUAGGGGGGAGUGCCACCUGAAAAAAAAAUUUCCAGGUCCCCAAAGGGUGACCGUCUUCCGGAGGACAGCGGAUCGACUACCAUGUGGGUGCCCACAAAAAUUCCACCUCUGAGUCCUCAACUGCUGACCCCGGGGUCAGGUCCAGAUUUUGAACAAAUCUCGCUAGAGAUUGAACAGAGCUGCGCCUGGAUCCCGCCACAGUGAGGAGACCUGAAGACCAGAGAAAACACAGCAAGCCCCUGGAUCCUCCUGGAAUCCCCGAUCCCUCUUGCUCCCUGGCAGAGUUUUCUAGUCCCUCUUACUUGAAGCAUGUCUUUCAGAGCCCGGCACCACCCAUCUUGAGUAUCUGGUGGAUUUUCACAUCUCAAGCCAGCUAAGAGUAUGGGAAAUAGGACUCGUUAAAGCACAGAUAUCACACAAGUGAUUCAGAUUCACGAGGGUAAUCCAGAUGAAGGUAUAUCAUUGUACCUGGCCCGCAUCACUCAGUAACUGUCACCUUUGAUUUAUUGAUUUACUUGAGAUGGAGUUUGGUUCUGUCCCCGAGGCCGGAGUGCAAUGGCGUGAUCUCUGCUCACUACAACCUCUGCCUCCCAGGUUCAGAGUGAUUCUCCUGCCUCAGCCUCUUUAGCUGGGAUUACAGGCACCCACCAACAUGCCCAGCUAAUUUUUGUAUUUUUAGUAGAGAGGAGCUUUCACCAUAAUGGCCAGGCUGGUCUUGAACCUCAAAUGAUCUGCCCACCUUGGCCUCCCAAAGUGCUAGGAUUACAGGCUGGAGCUACAGAGCCCAGCCUGUCACCUUGAUUUAAAUGAAUGCAGCUUUCUUGGUGUCUUGAUGUUUGUGAAUUUCUGUGGAGUUUGAUACUGCUCCUUUUGCUGCUUGUUUUUCCAGAGUCCCCUUAUCACUUGACGUGCUGUUAUAUUAUGUUUGAUUUAUUACAGAUACCCCAUCAGCCUGAGUCUCUUAAAGGCCUUUAUACACAUAUGUCUACACAUAGGGAUUUGGAUGAUCUCGGGAUCCCACAUCCUCGCUGUCCCCUGUCCCCCCGCAACAUCCCCCACCAAUACCUUUCUGAAGUUUUCUAGUCCCUCCUUUUUGUUUGUGCUCCUUAAAGCCCAGCCCCAUGCCUGACUUUGGUUCCCAGUGAGCAUUGUACAUUUGUGGAUAUUAAAUCUUUGGCAAAGUCAUUUACCUGGG
This 1558-nucleotide long non-coding RNA is filed under the name Homo sapiens (human). RNAcentral describes it as "long non-coding RNA NONHSAT180380.1". The record is from RNAcentral. Lineage: Eukaryota; Metazoa; Chordata; Mammalia; Primates; Hominidae.